UACGGGGGGAGCAAGCGUUGUUCGGAUUUACUGGGCGUAAAGGGCGCGUAGGCGGUCGUGACAAGUCACUUGUGAAAUCUCCGGGCUUAACUCGGAACGGUCAAGUGAUACUGUCGGACUAGAGUACAGAAGGGGCAACUGGAAUUCUCGGUGUAGCGGUGAAAUGCGUAGAUAUCGAGAGGAACACCUGCGGCGAAGGCGGCCUUCUGGACGAUGACUGACGCUGAGACGCGAAAGCGUGGGGAGCAAACAGG
RNAcentral lists this ribosomal RNA (254 nucleotides) under uncultured bacterium. RNAcentral describes it as "partial 16S ribosomal RNA". It matches the Rfam family "Bacterial small subunit ribosomal RNA", at positions 524 to 776 of the family's 1533-position model. The record is from RNAcentral.